Long non-coding RNA from Piliocolobus tephrosceles (Ugandan red Colobus), 707 nucleotides. RefSeq lists it as uncharacterized. The transcript has 3 exons. NCBI's taxonomy places the organism in Eukaryota, Metazoa, Chordata, Mammalia, Primates, Cercopithecidae. The record is from RefSeq and is a predicted model, not a curated record.
CUCUGGGGGUUUCAAGCCCCAGGUAGAAGUGUUCCCUGCCUCAUUACUGGGAAGCAGCAUCCACACAGGGGCUAACCCAGCCUGGGACCCUGUGUGCCAGCACUUACUCUGUUGUGUAGCACAUGUGACAAUGAAGGACGGAUGUAUCACCUUGAUGAUUAUGCUGUUGGGGUCCUGAUUCCAGCAUUCAUGAGUCAGGGGAAGGUCCCUGCUAAGGACAGACCUCAGGAGGGCAGUUGGUCCAGGACACACAGCUGCUUUCCUCCUGUUCCCUGAUCCUGCCCUGGGUCUGUAGUCAUCAUUCUGGAAAUUUCUCUUGGGUCCAAGACUAGGAGGUUCCUCUAAGAUCUUAUGACCCUGCUUCCUCCCAGCCUCCUCACAGGACAUUUUCUUCCCACAGGUGGAAAAGGAGGGAGCUACUCUCAGGCUGCGUCCAGCGACAGUGCCCAGGGAUCUGAUGUGUCUCUCACGGCUUCAAAAGCCUGAGAGAGCUGUCUUGUGUGGAACUGAGAAGCAGGAUUUCUUCACGCCUCCCUUUUGAAGACACUCCGGCAUCUCUUUCUGCAAAGGCAUCUGAAUGUGUCUGCAUCCCUGUUAGCAUAAUGUGAGGAGGUGGAGGGACAGCCCACCCCCGUGUCCACCGUGACCCCUGUUCCCACGCUGACCUGUGUUUCCUCCCCAGUCAUCUUUCCUGUUCCAGAGAGGUG